Molecule: transfer RNA, 75 nt
Filed under: Candidatus Komeilibacteria bacterium RIFCSPLOWO2_01_FULL_45_10
Lineage: Bacteria; Candidatus Komeiliibacteriota
Description: tRNA-Phe
Rfam family: tRNA
About the family: Transfer RNA (tRNA) molecules are approximately 80 nucleotides in length. Their secondary structure includes four short double-helical elements and three loops (D, anti-codon, and T loops).
Source: RNAcentral
GCCGAGAUAGCUCAGUGGUAGAGCGCUUGCCUGAAGAGCAAGGCGUCGGCAGUUCAAUUCUGCCUCUCGGCACCA